GAAAUGAUAGUUUGCAAUCAGAUUUAAGUGGAUCUGGAGAAAAUAAAGACACAUGAGCUUUCUUGCACACAUCUGAGCGUGUGUUAUGGACUUUCACUCCAGCUUCAGUUCAUUUCCCAGGGUUCUUGUUUUCCUGGGAAGCCACAAGUUCUAGUACUUUCUUCUCUCCUCAAAUGUAUUAUCCCAGACAAACAUUUGGCACAUUGAAUCUGUUUCUCCCUUCUCUUUCCCUGUCUUUAGACAGAAUAUUAUUCAACUCAAGCUAAAGUGAAAACACCAACGAUGCUUGAAGCCUCUUUUGGCCUUAGGUGUGAUUAGAGCCCUCAGUGACCAGGACCUUCAUAUUCACAUGAGGCUGGUUUUUAACAAAUGCUUUUGCAAGAAGCACAGGGUGUGCUGCGUGGAGGAAGUACAGUGACGAUGGGGCUCGUUCUUCUUGGAAUGAUCAAGAGCUUCUCGGCACCCCCGGAGCAGUGUGAGGCAGAGACCACAGCUCACAGUUGAUUCCAGUGCCUUGAUGUGACUCACUGGAAAGAUUCCACCGGGCCGCAGCACCAUUGUCCUUGGAAAUCAAGGGUCAUAUUUGCAGGUGUCGUUUUGAGCUUUCUAGCCUGUUCUGUUGGCCUGUUUUCCUUUCAUCCUUGUGCUACUGUCACGCUGGCUUAAUUCCCAAGCCUUUAUAAUAAAUCUUGGUAGAACAAGGUCCAGUAGAACAAGUCCUUCCGCCUCCAAGUUUCAUGGCUCCUCCAUCGCCAUAACUUUUAGAAUCAGGUUAAGUC
This 779-nucleotide long non-coding RNA is filed under the name Capra hircus (goat). Its description in RNAcentral is "lncRNA (ENSCHIG00000008098.1)". The record is from RNAcentral. Lineage: Eukaryota; Metazoa; Chordata; Mammalia; Artiodactyla; Bovidae.